CCAAAAGCUUGGCCACAGACCAGAGGUGAAAAACUUCAAAGGAAGCCAGUCUCUUGGAAUUCAUUCAUUGGCAUGUCCUAACUCAAAGGUUGAGGGAGGCCCAGACGGGCUGGCCUGCAGCAUGCUAGGAUUUGAACCCAGAUCCUCUAUAGGAACAGCCUGCUUUCUUAUCUGCUAAGCCAAUUCUCCAGCCCUAAAUAACAAUUUCCAUUCCAUUCCCCCCUCCAAUGGUUUUCCAUUAAAUUUCUUAAUGU
Molecule: long non-coding RNA, 254 nt
Organism: Mastomys coucha (southern multimammate mouse)
Lineage: Eukaryota; Metazoa; Chordata; Mammalia; Rodentia; Muridae
Exons: 2
Source: RefSeq, a predicted model, not a curated record